Molecule: ribosomal RNA, 328 nt
Filed under: uncultured eukaryote
Lineage: Eukaryota
Description: partial 18S ribosomal RNA
Rfam family: Eukaryotic small subunit ribosomal RNA
Source: RNAcentral
CCCUUAGAUGUCCUGGGCCGCACGCGCGUUACACUGAUGCAUUCAACGAGCUUAUAACCUUGGCCGAGAUGCCUGGGCAAUCUUGUUAACGUGCAUCGUGAUAGGGAUAGAUUAUUGAAAUUAUUAAUCUUGAACGAGGAAUUCCUAGUAAACGCAGAUCAUCAAUCUGCAUUGAUUACGUCCCUGCCCUUUGUACACACCGCCCGUCGCACCUACCGAUUGGAUGGUCCGGUGAAGCCUCGGGAUUGUGGUUCUUGCCGCUUUAUUGUGGCGUGACCGCGAGAACUUGUCUAAACCUUAUCAUCUAGAGGAAGGUGAAGUCGUAACA